RNAcentral lists this long non-coding RNA (397 nucleotides) under Mustela putorius furo (domestic ferret). Its description in RNAcentral is "lncRNA (ENSMPUG00000029086.1)". The record is from RNAcentral. Lineage: Eukaryota; Metazoa; Chordata; Mammalia; Carnivora; Mustelidae.
AUUUCUUUUAGCUCAGAUACCAGGCUGCUGGAGAAUGGGAGAACCAAAAUAGACUGGAUGUCCAGUCACCCUCCUAGAAUUCCCCAUCUGCUCUGAUGAAGUUCUGGAGACACCCAAGGUUUUCUUAUCUGAAAUAGGAUAUUUGGAUCCUUUAGUCUACGAGUUGGGAAAGCACAAGAGGCCUGUCACUGCAGUGGAAUUUUCUGCAGCUCGAAUGAAUGAGAGACAAAUCACAGAUUCAAUCGAAAGCCGCACACAGAAAAUUCAAUAUCUGAGAAAAGGGAACCUUGAGGCCAUUCAUCCUCACCUCAUAGGAAUGAAGCAGAAAUAAAAACCACCUUUUAAAAGGAGAGCUAUAACUUCCAGCUUUGGGAGGUGGGUUUCAGAUUUUUUUCUC